CCUACGGGAGGCAGCAGUGAGGAAUAUUGGUCAAUGGCCGCAGGGCUGAACCAGCCAAGUAGCGUGAAGGAUGACUGCCCUACGGGUUGUAAACUUCUUUUAUAAAGGAAUAAAGUGAGGCACGUGUGCCUUUUUGUAUGUACUUUAUGAAUAAGGAUCGGCUAACUCCGUGCCAGCAGCCGCGGUAAUACGGAGGAUCCGAGCGUUAUCCGGAUUUAUUGGGUUUAAAGGGAGCGUAGACGGGUUGUUAAGUCAGUUGUGAAAGUUUGCGGCUCAACCGUAAAAUUGCAAUUGAUACUGGCAGUCUUGAGUACAGUUGAGGUAGGCGGAAUGCGUGGUGUAGCGGUGAAAUGCUUAGAUAUAACGAAGAACUCCGAUUGCGAAGGCAGCUUACUAAACUGCCACUGACAUUGAUGCUCGAAAGUGUGGGUAUCAAACAGGAUUAGAUACCCUAGUAGUC
Molecule: ribosomal RNA, 460 nt
Filed under: uncultured bacterium
Lineage: Bacteria
Description: partial 16S ribosomal RNA
Rfam family: Bacterial small subunit ribosomal RNA
Source: RNAcentral